This 253-nucleotide ribosomal RNA is filed under the name uncultured bacterium. Its description in RNAcentral is "partial 16S ribosomal RNA". It matches the Rfam family "Bacterial small subunit ribosomal RNA", at positions 524 to 776 of the family's 1533-position model. The record is from RNAcentral.
UACAGAGGGUGCAAGCGUUAAUCGGAAUUACUGGGCGUAAAGCGUGCGUAGACGGUUACAUAAGUCGGGUGUGAAAGCCCCGGGCUCAACCUGGGAAUUGCAUUCGAGACUGCGUAGCUAGGGUGCGGAAGAGGGAAGCGGAAUUUCCGGUGUAGCGGUGAAAUGCGUAGAUAUCAGGAGGAACACCUGUGGUGUAGACAGCUUACUGGACCAUUUCUGACGCUGAGACACGAAAGCGUGGGUAGCAAACAGG